AGACUGCAAGCGUUAUUCGGAUUCACUGGGCGUAAAGGGUGCGCAGGCGGCCGCGCAAGUCGAGUGUGAAAGCCCCGAGCUUAACUUGGGAAUUGCGCUCGAAACUACGUGGCUGGAGUGUGGCAGAGGAAGGUGGAAUUCCACGUGUAGCGGUGAAAUGCGUAGAGAUGUGGAGGAACACCGAUGGCGAAGGCAGCCUUCUGGGCCAACACUGACGCUCAUGCACGAAAGCGUGGGGAGCAAACAGG
RNAcentral lists this ribosomal RNA (248 nucleotides) under uncultured bacterium. RNAcentral's name for it is "partial 16S ribosomal RNA". It matches the Rfam family "Bacterial small subunit ribosomal RNA", at positions 529 to 776 of the family's 1533-position model. The record is from RNAcentral.